This 253-nucleotide ribosomal RNA is filed under the name uncultured bacterium. RNAcentral's name for it is "partial 16S ribosomal RNA". It matches the Rfam family "Bacterial small subunit ribosomal RNA", at positions 524 to 776 of the family's 1533-position model. The record is from RNAcentral.
UACGGAGGGUGCAAGCGUUAUCCGGAUUCACUGGGUUUAAAGGGUGCGUAGGCGGGCAGGUAAGUCAGUGGUGAAAUCUUCGAGCUUAACUCGGAAACUGCCGUUGAUACUAUCUGUCUUGAAUCCCGUGGAGAUGAGCGGAAUAUGUCAUGUAGCGGUGAAAUGCUUAGAUAUGACAUAGAACACCAAUUGCGAAGGCAGCUCGUUACACGAAGAUUGACUCUGAGGCACGAAAGCGUGGGGAUCAAACAGG